This is a long non-coding RNA of Anguilla anguilla (European eel), 2110 nucleotides long. RefSeq lists it as uncharacterized. The transcript is spliced from 3 exons. The record is from RefSeq and is a predicted model, not a curated record. Lineage: Eukaryota; Metazoa; Chordata; Actinopteri; Anguilliformes; Anguillidae.
AGAGAGAGAGGCGAAAUCGCCCGGUUUCAGGUUUCCUGCGAUUGGGUUGACCGCCUGUGCAAUUAAACAUAAACAAUCUUAGAGGAUUCCCCCUCUUCUUCUUGUGCAGCCCCGAUACCGAGCGCCCGCCUUUUUUCCCUCUGAAAGGUACAGAGGCACAGAUAAAUAACCAAAGGCACCGUGUGGGAAUGAAUGGCGCUCGGCUCACGGUGAGCCCAGCGGGAGGGUGUUGCUACGCGUCCGCUCUGUGUUCCCCUGCAACCCAGCUGUGGCCCGUCUCUUUGUUGACUUUAGAAAGAUCACAUGGCGUCCUAUUGGAGACCUGCUCGGAGGGGGGGAGCCCCUCUGCAGGACAUUUUUUCUGGUCAACAUUAACUCCUCCGCUCAUGCGGUUCUUCCUCGCCCCGGUUUCAACACACGGAACGGCAGAACAGCCCGCUCGUGUUUACACUCGCAGGCAAAGCACAUUCUUCAAGGUGAAGCUUCCCUCUCCUUCCAAAAAUGGCUUGUAAACUUGAGAGGGAGAGAAGAGAAGAUGUCUGUCUCCAAUCAAGUGUGUGACACCUACCAAUUAGAGAGCUCAAGCUGUCCAUCCAGUCACCGAUCUCAACGGAGUAAGAAAACACCGCCAUUGUCUACCGGAAGAAAACGACAAAAGAGAACCAACCUCAAGGUGUACAGUGGGAUAAAAUAGCUUCAGCAUGAGCAAGUUACAAUGUCUCAUUUUUCCACGUUGAAAUUUCCAUAAAAGUGUACAGUAGGAGAUAACCAGACUUAGCCAGUGAGUUAUAGCCCUUUCCCCCCCAGUGUGUGGCUAAUCUGCCCAGCACCCUGACGGUGCUCUGAUAGCUGAGUUCUGUCAUGAUUACUCAGUCUCCCUGGUCCUCCCAGCUCGCUCUGCUGACUGUGGGCUCACAGGAUGCUUGUCAGCUAAGAAUAAAACAUUUGACAUAAAUUGGGCUUUUGCUGCCAGGUGUAAAGUGAACCACACUUAACCACCAGUGUGCUGUUGUUACAACUAUAAACCACACUGAACCACCAGUGUGUUGCUGUUAAAACUAUGAACCACACUGAACCAUCAGUGUGUUGCUGUUAAAACUAUAAACCACAUUGAACCACCAGUGUGCUGCUUUUAAAACUAUGUCAAAAUUGUGCCUGUGUGUAUUUAAAAACACUUAGCAGAGAGAAAAUUCUGCCCCCACUUCCUCUGCUCUUUGCCGAAACUUCAAAGCUUCCCUGCAUCUAAAAAAGUUAAUUGAAUCGAACUCUAAGUACAUCGAGCGAAAGAAAGGCUCAUAAUCUGAGCUUUGGGCAUGACUAAACCUGAAGAUAUUUCCUUGGCCUUCAGGCAUAAUGACUGUGCAAGGUCGGCGACAUGAUUAUUUAUCGAAUGAAACAGAUCAAUUUGUUGAUCAAUAUCUGCAUUAUGUAACCUGCUUUUCUCUCAGAGUAUUCUCUCCGAUUCCUAGGUGAAUGAAUUUCGGAAAUCAUAGAUAAUGCACAGGUAUAGAUCAUUUAUGAAACCUAUUCAUCAACUCAGGAGGCAUCACUCUUGUUUACAUGACUUAUUUUACAUGUUUGAAUCACAUAAAUUUCAGAUGGCCCAUAUGCAUUUGCCAGUAACCAAAUAUGUCUAUGUACAUGUUAUGCCUGUACAGAAAUGGGCGAGUUUUGAUGAUGUCCACUUCAGACAUUGUCAGCUUUUUGAAGGAUCUUUAUCUUUGCAUCCAUUUGUUUCCACUUAUUAGUUCAAAGACGCUCCUUAAUUUUGGUCAAGGCCACAGUAAGUGGAGAUAAUGGUGCUAUUUAGGGCUUUUAAAGAUUAAAGGCAGAAACCCUUCAGUUUAUCAUGGAUGGAAUGAGCCUUUUCCAUGUGCGUUCUCUGUUUGGGAAGGCUGCUGUAUUUAAGUCAUUCAGCUUUUGAUUACCCCCUUCUUGAAGACUGAAGUAGGCGGGGUCUUUGUGCAUGGAUACCCAAAGAUUUGGAUUUAUUUUUAUAAGCCUUCAUAAUUAACAUAACUUAGCUUCCAAGAAAAUAAAUAAAUAAAUAAAUAAAUAAAUAAAUAAAUAAAUAAAUAAAUAAAUAAAUAAAUAAAAACCAGCGCAUUCA